Molecule: ribosomal RNA, 707 nt
Filed under: Arthrobacter sp. MJH11
Lineage: Bacteria; Bacillati; Actinomycetota; Actinomycetes; Micrococcales; Micrococcaceae
Description: bacterial SSU rRNA
Rfam family: Bacterial small subunit ribosomal RNA
Source: RNAcentral
GAACGAUGAUCCUCAGCUUGCUGGGGGGAUUAGUGGCGAACGGGUGAGUAACACGUGAGUAACCUGCCCUUGACUCUGGGAUAAGCCUGGGAAACUGGGUCUAAUACUGGAUAUGACCUUCCAUCGCAUGGUGGUUGGUGGAAAGCUUUUGUGGUUUUGGAUGGACUCGCGGCCUAUCAGCUUGUUGGUGGGGUAAUGGCCUACCAAGGCGACGACGGGUAGCCGGCCUGAGAGGGUGGACGGCCACACUGGGACUGAGACACGGCCCAGACUCCUACGGGAGGCAGCAGUGGGGAAUAUUGCACAAUGGGCGCAAGCCUGAUGCAGCGACGCCGCGUGAGGGAUGAAGGCCUUCGGGUUGUAAACCUCUUUCAGUAGGGAAGAAGCGUAAGUGACGGUACCUGCAGAAGAAGCGCCGGCUAACUACGUGCCAGCAGCCGCGGUAAUACGUAGGGCGCAAGCGUUAUCCGGAAUUAUUGGGCGUAAAGAGCUCGUAGGCGGUUUGUCGCGUCUGCCGUGAAAGUCCGGGGCUUAACUCCGGAUCUGCGGUGGGUACGGGCAGACUUGAGUGAUGUAGGGGAGACUGGAAUUCCUGGUGUAGCGGUGAAAUGCGCAGAUAUCAGGAGGAACACCGAUGGCGAAGGCAGGUCUCUGGGCAUUAACUGACGCUGAGGAGCGAAAGCAUGGGGAGCGAACAGGAUUAGAUA